UAUCUGCAUUAUCGCCAGGCGGACAGAAUGUGUGCUUCAGGCACACACACCCUCCCGCUCUCCUUUGCUGAGAGGCUGCCCCUAAUGAGUUCAAACUUCCUUCCUCUGAGCUCCACACCCUGGAUCUCACAUUUACUUGUUUUUUCACAAAUGUUUAUUGAGUUCCUAUGGUUUGGUGGCUGCCGGGCUGGGGGGAGAGUGCAGCAGACCACGCGGAUACGCGUCUGUCCAAAGAAGGCCUGUAGGCUGUGACACCGGCUGGGGCAGGAGCUCUGGGAGAAGGUCCAGCUCCUCCAUGGCUCCCCCUGCCUCCCUCUGGUUCAUGGAGCCCACUGGGACAACCCUCAGCACCCUCUCCCCUCUCCUCUCUUUCAUCCUCUCCCGUGGGGCACCUAUGACCUGGAAGGCACUGGGGAAACAGAGGUGAAGCAAGACGGCCAGGUGGCAGGCUACUGCAACAGACGAGGUUGGCAGCACCGAAGCAGUCCAGCCAGCCUGGAGAAGCCCUGGACACCCACUCCCGUCCUCAGAACAUGAAAGACGGGCACGCUGCUGCAGAUGGAGAGCGUGUUGGACACAGCUUGUCCACAGAGUUUCCAAUACUCAUGGGAAGAUGCAACAAAGCUAGACAGCAGCUACCGGGAAAACGAACCAAAAUAAAAGUGCAAGACAUAUCACAGGGCGACACGAUUAAUUGCCAAGUCACUGACAUGGACAAAUUUAAUACUGAUGGAAUGAUUCUGUCUCUAUUUCUCAGGCAGACUGGCGCUGGGGUAGAAAGAAGGGAGACCACAAAUUCCUUGUGGAAUACGGGUUGCUCAAAUUGUUACAAAAACCAGGCAUUAAUUUUGCAUGCAUUAAUCUUAUAAAAUACAGUAAAUAUGACAGGCACAUAGAGCACAAUUGUAGCUCAAACUCAGAGAGGCCCUUUGGUAGCCACAGAAGGCCUCGCGGAGGAAGCAGGUUUUUGUUUUUUGUUUUUAAGUGUUUUUAUUUAUUUUUGAGACAGAGAGAGACAGAGCAUGAGCAGGGGAGGAGCAGAGAGAGAGGGAGACACA
This is a long non-coding RNA of Neofelis nebulosa (Clouded leopard), 1058 nucleotides long. RefSeq lists it as uncharacterized. The record is from RefSeq and is a predicted model, not a curated record. The transcript is spliced from 3 exons. Lineage: Eukaryota; Metazoa; Chordata; Mammalia; Carnivora; Felidae.